AUGUAGGCUGAAACUCGCCUACAUGAAGCUGGAGUUACUAGUAAUCGCAGAUCAGAAUGCUGCGGUGAAUGCGUUCCCGGGUCUUGUACACACCGCCCGUCACACCACGGAAGUUGGGGGCGCCCGAAGCCACUUAGCUAACCCAUUUGGGAAGCGAGUGUCGAAGGUGAAAUCAAUAACUGGGGUGAAGUCGUAACAAGGUAUC
RNAcentral lists this ribosomal RNA (205 nucleotides) under uncultured bacterium. RNAcentral's name for it is "partial 16S ribosomal RNA". It matches the Rfam family "Bacterial small subunit ribosomal RNA", at positions 1298 to 1500 of the family's 1533-position model. The record is from RNAcentral.